CACUGGCAUUUUUUAUUUUAUAUGGACCGCGACUGCUUGAGGAUUUAGAAGCCGGAUUAUGUGGUGAUGAACAUGGUGUUGAAUCUGGCAGCUGCACCUCACCAAACGUGACAUGGCAGAGUUGAAAGGUGAGCUGGAACCAGAGUGCUCCCGUAUUUUCAGGGCUGUCCUGGAAGACAGCUGCUGGAUUUAGUGAAGACUGAAUCCAACUGCACUACAAGGAAUGUUUUCAGCCUCUGCACACAGCAUA
RNAcentral lists this long non-coding RNA (250 nucleotides) under Capra hircus (goat). RNAcentral describes it as "lncRNA (ENSCHIG00010022016.1)". The record is from RNAcentral. Lineage: Eukaryota; Metazoa; Chordata; Mammalia; Artiodactyla; Bovidae.